This 66-nucleotide transfer RNA is filed under the name Neochauliodes sinensis. RNAcentral's name for it is "tRNA-Pro". RNAcentral also lists the same sequence under 3 other names. The record is from RNAcentral. Lineage: Eukaryota; Metazoa; Arthropoda; Insecta; Megaloptera; Corydalidae.
CAAAGGGUAGUUUAAAUAAAAUAAUAAUUUUGGGGAUUAUUGAUAAGGUAGUAACUUUUCCUUUGA